RNAcentral lists this ribosomal RNA (423 nucleotides) under uncultured Burkholderia sp. RNAcentral's name for it is "bacterial SSU rRNA". It matches the Rfam family "Bacterial small subunit ribosomal RNA", at positions 956 to 1382 of the family's 1533-position model. Lineage: Bacteria; Pseudomonadati; Pseudomonadota; Betaproteobacteria; Burkholderiales; Burkholderiaceae. The record is from RNAcentral.
GCAACGCGAAAACCUUACCUACCUUGACAUGGUCGGAAUCCUGAAAGAGAUUCGGGAGUGCUCGAAAGAGAACCGGCGCACAGGUGCUGCAUUGGCUGUCGUCAGCUCGUGUCGUGAGAUGUUGGGUUAAGUCCCGCAACGAGCGCAACCCUUGUCCUUAGUUGCUACGCAAGAGCACUCUAAAGGAGACUGCCGGUGACAAACCGGAGGAAGGUGGGGAUGACGUCAAGUCCUCAUGGCCCUUAUGGGUAGGGCUUCACACGUCAUACAAUGGUCGGAACAGAGGGUUGCCAACCCGCGAGGGGGAGCUAAUCCCAGAAAACCGAUCGUAGUCCGGAUUGCACUCUGCAACUCGAGUGCAUGAAGCUGGAAUCGCUAGUAAUCGCGGAUCGGCAUGCCGCGGUGGAUACGUUCCCGGGUCUU